GACCUGCGGAAGGAUCAUUACUGAAAUGUAAUAACUUCUAUUGAAAGGUUCCAGAGUAGGCGCUACAACGCCGAAAUGACCUUCUCACCCUUGUGUACUCACUAUGUUGCUUUGGCGGGUCGACCUGGUUCCGACCCAGGCGGCCGGCGCCCCCAGCCUUAACUGGCCAGGACGCCCGGCUAAGUGCCCGCCAGUAUACAAAACUCAAGAAUUCAUUUUGUGAAGUCCUGAUAUAUCAUUUAAUUGAUUAAAACUUUCAACAACGGAUCUCUUGGUUCUGGCAUCGAUGAAGAACGCAGCGAAAUGCGAUAAGUAAUGUGAAUUGCAGAAUUCAGUGAAUCAUCGAAUCUUUGAACGCACAUUGCGCCCUCUGGUAUUCCGGAGGGCAUGCCUGUUCGAGCGUCAUUUCAACCCUCAAGCUCUGCUUGGUAUUGGGCAACGUCCGCUGCCGGACGUGCCUUGAAGACCUCGGCGACGGCGUCCUAGCCUCGAGCGUAGUAGUAAAAUAUCUCGCUUUGGAGUGCUGGGCGACGGCCGCCGGACAAUCGACCUUCGGUCUAUUUUUCCAAGGUUGACCUCGGAUCAGGUAGGGAUACCCGCUGAACUUAAGCAUAUCAAUAAGCGGAGGAAAAGAAACCAACAGGGAUUGCCUUAGUAACGGCGAGUGAAGCGGCAAUAGCUCAA
This 684-nucleotide ribosomal RNA is filed under the name fungal endophyte. RNAcentral describes it as "eukaryotic LSU rRNA". The stretch from base 252 to 405 matches the Rfam family "5.8S ribosomal RNA". The record is from RNAcentral. Lineage: Eukaryota; Fungi.